Molecule: ribosomal RNA, 377 nt
Filed under: uncultured bacterium
Lineage: Bacteria
Description: bacterial SSU rRNA
Rfam family: Bacterial small subunit ribosomal RNA
Source: RNAcentral
AGACAGAGGGUGCAAACGUUGUUCGGAAUUACUGGGCGUAAAGCGAGUGUAGGCGGUUUGCUUAGUCGGAUGUGAAAGCCCCGGGCUCAACCCGGGAAGUGCAUUCGAAACUGGCAGGCUAGAGUAUCGGAGAGGUUGGUGGAAUUCUCGGUGUAGAGGUGAAAUUCGUAGAUAUCGAGAGGAACACCGGUGGCGAAGGCGGCCAACUGGACGAAUACUGACGCUGAGACUCGAAAGCGUGGGGAGCAAACAGGAUUAGAUACCCUGGUAGUCCACGCCGUAAACUAUGGGUGCUAGGUGCUGCGGGCUUUGACUCCUGCGGUGCCGUAGCUAACGCAUUAAGCACCCCGCCUGGGGAGUACGGCCGCAAGGCUAAA